Molecule: ribosomal RNA, 253 nt
Filed under: uncultured bacterium
Lineage: Bacteria
Description: partial 16S ribosomal RNA
Rfam family: Bacterial small subunit ribosomal RNA
Source: RNAcentral
GACAGAGGGUGCAAACGUUGUUCGGAAUUACUGGGCGUAAAGGGUGCGUAGGUGGCAGGGUAAGUCGGAUGUGAAAGCUCGGAGCUCAACUCCGAAAUGGCAUUGGAAACUACCCAGCUCGAGGGUUGGAGGGGGGACUGGAAUGCUUGGUGUAGCAGUGAAAUGCGUAGAUAUCAAGCGGAACACCAGUGGCGAAGGCGAGUCCCUGGACAACUCCUGACACUGAGGCACGAAAGCUAGGGGAGCAAACAGG